GUGAGUUACCACCAUUUUGUCAGGGCGUCCUGAUUAAGAACAAAGCGCUCCUCAUUUAACUGUGGAACAUUCUGGUGCUGUUGGAUUUGACUACUUGAAAUGCGAACACUCUUGGUUUUAAUGGGAAGAUACUGACCCCAGAAGUGACGAAAACCAGACAAAGUCCCCACAAGAUGGUGUCUAGUCAGGUGAAGAUCCUAUACUUCGUCUAAUCGGGUCAAAGAUGAGCUUGAGUCUAGCCCAGUUGAUGAUGUGUGCGAGGCAUGUUGCACAAAGACAGCCAACUAUUCACAAUCUUGAUCACACCUAUGGAGAAAGUUGGAGAACUCAGAGAAAACCCACCCAAGCACCGUGAAAACAUACCAUCUCAACAAAUAAAGGCAGAGAAAGGGUCAAGAUUAUAUCUUAGAUUUGUUCUGUGAGGUAGACAAAUAUUGUUUGCAUCAUUGCUUUCUUUUCUGGUGCACAGUCUUGCUGAAACAAAAAAUGUAUUUCCCCAAUAAAAGUUAGAGGCAUACAUUUAUCCAUACGCUGUAUACAAGGAGAGUACAUAAGAAGAAACUUGAUCGUGACAUUGCCAGAGAUGUCUUUAGAAAUACAUUUGGGGGUGCAAAAACUCACAAAAUGAAAUCAUUAAAUGAGCUAAACCCAUGAAUAAAAAAUACUUAUUGCAUUUUUAUUUUUUUCCAAAAUUCCUAACAAACAAGUAUAGUUGGUGAUGCAAAUACAUCGUCUUCAAAAUUCAUACCUUAUAUAUAGUAAUAGAUUGACAGAUUUUGAUAGAUCGAGUAAUGAUCACUUUAUUAAAUCCAUUGAGGAAAAUGAAGCAAUUGUUUAGUUUCAACUAACGAGGCUCUUUAUACAGUCCAUUGGUUGAGUACUUCAACCCUCCCUGAGACUCAUGUAGCGGAAUAAAUAAUGCAUGAAACAAAUGACGGCCAUUUUAAGGUGGGUCCUCCACUAGACAUUGAUCUUACACAGUAUAAACGACCACAGCCACCAGAGCUGCAAGUCCCUUUGAGCUUGGUUGAGGGAGGUGGGGAAUGGUAGCUGGGAUGAAAUUUAUUGUGCCAGACUGUUACUUGGUAUGCAGGGUGGAGACAGCAAAGAUUGUUUUUGCAUACUUGCUCCAUCAUCCACAUUUCAGAGAUAUGAUUUGUUUCUCCUCUUUUGUUUUGUUUGUUUUGCUCUCGUCAGGUACUUCUGUGUGUA
Long non-coding RNA from Syngnathoides biaculeatus (alligator pipefish), 1212 nucleotides. RefSeq lists it as uncharacterized. The record is from RefSeq and is a predicted model, not a curated record. NCBI's taxonomy places the organism in Eukaryota, Metazoa, Chordata, Actinopteri, Syngnathiformes, Syngnathidae. The transcript has 3 exons.